GACGAACGCUGGCGGCGUGCUUAACACAUGCAAGUCGAACGGUAAGGCCCUUCGGGGUACACGAGUGGCGAACGGGUGAGUAACACGUGGGUGAUCUGCCCUGCACUUCGGGAUAAGCCUGGGAAACUGGGUCUAAUACCGGGUAGGACCCUGGGAUGCAUGUCCUGGGGUGGAAAGCUUUUGCGGUGUGGGAUGGGCGCGCGGCCUAUCAGCGUGUUGGUGGGGUGAUGGCCUACCAAGGCGACGACGGGUAGCCGGCCUGAGAGGGUGACCGGCCACACUGGGACUGAGGUACGGCCCAGACUCCUACGGGAGGCAGGAGUGGGGAAUAUUGCACAAUGGGCGCAAGCCUGAUGCAGCGACGCCGCGUGAGGGAUGACGGCCUUCGGGUUGUAAACCUCUUUCAGCACCGACGAAGCGCAAGUGACGGUAGGUGCAGAAGAAGGACCGGCCAACUACGUGCCAGCCGCCGCGGUAA
This 478-nucleotide ribosomal RNA is filed under the name uncultured bacterium. RNAcentral describes it as "partial 16S ribosomal RNA". It matches the Rfam family "Bacterial small subunit ribosomal RNA", at positions 28 to 523 of the family's 1533-position model. The record is from RNAcentral.